This 254-nucleotide ribosomal RNA is filed under the name uncultured bacterium. RNAcentral's name for it is "partial 16S ribosomal RNA". It matches the Rfam family "Bacterial small subunit ribosomal RNA", at positions 524 to 776 of the family's 1533-position model. The record is from RNAcentral.
UACGUAGGGUGCAAGCGUUGUCCGGAAUUAUUGGGCGUAAAGAGCUCGUAGGCGGUUUGUUGCGUCGGCUGUGAAAUCUCCACGCUCAACGUGGAGGGGUCAGCUGAUACUGCUGUGACUUGAGUCCGGUAGGGGAGUGUGGAAUUCCCGGUGUAGCGGUGAAAUGCGCAGAUAUCGGGAGGAACACCAGUAGCGAAGGCGGCACUCUGGGCCGGUACUGACGCUGAGGAGCGAAAGCGUGGGGAGCAAACAGG